UAUUAAAAUUUAAUCUAUUUCUACUAUUAAAAACCGAUUGGCUGAAGAAAUACCCAAACAAUGACACCUUGUGUGCCACGUGUACCUUAUAUGACAUAUAAAGACCAAUUUUUAAAAGUAAAAAUAGAUGAACUUUUUAAGA
This 142-nucleotide microRNA precursor is filed under the name Gossypium hirsutum (cotton). Its description in RNAcentral is "MIR7502 microRNA precursor family". It matches the Rfam family "MIR7502 microRNA precursor family". Lineage: Eukaryota; Viridiplantae; Streptophyta; Magnoliopsida; Malvales; Malvaceae. The record is from Rfam by way of RNAcentral.